GGGGACUGUUCCCCCUGUGCCCUUGUGAGGCCACAUCUGGAGCACUGUGUCCAGGCCUGGGGCCCCCAGCAGGAGAAGGAUGUGGGGCUGUUAGAGCAGGUCCAGAGGAGGGUCAAAAAGGUGGAGCACUUCUAUGAAAAAAGGCUGAGAGAAAUGGGUUGACAUUGAGCAAGGGAGUCAUUUUCACAGGCAACCAUCAGUGUAGAUCCCCCAGCAGGAAACCUUGGAAGCAGCAUCUCAGGGAGCAGGGACUGGUACAGCCCCAUACGCUUACCUUACUGCCAUCACUGAUCGUAACGAGUAGACGGAGACAAUUAGCAGCUGGGGAAAGCUCUGUGGUUUCAUUCAGCCCUCAGGAAGAAUGAAACCUACAGUGGGAAAGUGUCUCCAAAGCAGCUGAGGCAAUUUGUUCCCCCGCCCCCCCCCCCCUUGUAUGCAGCAAUGAUGAAUAAACUACCACUAUAAGUCUGGUUGUUACAAGAGCUCCUGCAGCCCUUUGGUCUUGUCGAUCAUCUGAUUGCCUUCACUGAAUGCUUCUGUGAGUGAGACCUUUUGGCAGGAGUGAAGUCUGGAAAGAUGAAACACUUGUACAUAAUGACAGAUUCAUGGAAUAACAUGAAUAUUUAUACACACUGGCAUGAGACCACUGCACAUAAUUCAUCUCAGAUGCUUCAAACCAACCAGCUUUGUGGCUUAUAGAGACAGUCAACAAACACAACCAUGCUUUGCUCUCAGUGCUAUACCAGUGUUGAUGCAAUGGCCCUGCUGAACCACGACAAGGAGACUUCAGCCCAGUAUUAUCACAAGGACCAUAGCAGCACACUGCCUGCCCCACAAGCUUUGUGGGCCAGGCAUCUCAUACCUACAACUCCACUUCCCCACCACCUUUGCAUGAAGUUGGACCUUUCCCUGACAUCCCUAAAGGACUCUUCAAGGACAAGGACCAGAAGACAGAGCUCAGGAAACCAGCCUAGGUGAGGGAUCCAUCAGAGUGAAGAAACCCUACAGGCUUAUCUGUAGUGUUACUGAGCUUCAUGCUUCCUACAGUGUUUUUCUUAUUAGAACAGGUCAGCAGAGAGAUGUCCCUCCUAAGCACACAAACCAUCUGCUGCCUGCAGCAAUGCUACAUGCUGUGGUCCAGAGGGAAGCAGAGGGACCCACAUCCUUCUAGGACUCAGCCCCAGAACCUAACUCAGAAUACUGGAAACAAGCAUUCCCGAGGGCAGGCUGCUUUCCAGGAGCAUUAUGUUGCUAAACAAUCCAAGAAACUAACAGAGAACACUACACCCACAGACUGCCAGCAGUAGUCAUAGAAGGGAUGUGGACAGGGACUUACAGCCUGACCCUGCAUAACAUCUUCUCUGUUAUGCCUGCAGUUGUGCACAAUCAAUACUGAUUAUAUCCACCCUGUC
RNAcentral lists this long non-coding RNA (1412 nucleotides) under Gallus gallus (chicken). RNAcentral describes it as "lncRNA (ENSGALG00010016092.1)". Lineage: Eukaryota; Metazoa; Chordata; Aves; Galliformes; Phasianidae. The record is from RNAcentral.